This 486-nucleotide ribosomal RNA is filed under the name uncultured organism. RNAcentral's name for it is "bacterial SSU rRNA". It matches the Rfam family "Bacterial small subunit ribosomal RNA", at positions 30 to 507 of the family's 1533-position model. The record is from RNAcentral.
AUUGAACGCUGGCGGCGUGCUUAACACAUGCAAGUCGAGCGGUAACAGGUGUAGCAAUACAUGCUGACGAGCGGCGAACGGGUGAGUAAUGCUUCGGAAUCUGCCCAGUAAUGGGGAAUAACUAGCCGAAAGGUUAGCUAAUACCGCAUACGACCUACGGGUGAAAGCGGGGGAUCGCAAGACCUCGCGUUAUUGGAUGAGCCGAAGUCGGAUUAGCUAGUUGGUAGGGUAACGGCCUACCAAGGCGACGAUCCGUAGCUGGUCUGAGAGGACGACCAGCCACACUGGGACUGAGACACGGCCCAGACUCCUACGGGAGGCAGCAGUGGGGAAUAUUGGACAAUGGGGGCAACCCUGAUCCAGCGACGCCGCGUGUGUGAAGAAGGCCUGCGGGUUGUAAAGCACUUUUAGUGGGGAGGAAACGCUCAGACCUAACACGUCUGGGAACUGACUUAACCCAAAGAAAAAGCACCGGCUAACUCUGUG